CAGAUACAGGUUGAGGUAGGUCAGAUACAGGUUGAGGUAGGUCAGAUAGAGGUUGAGGUAGGUCAGAUAGAGGUUGAGGUAGGUCAGAUAGAGGUUGAGGUAGGUCAGAUAGAGGUUGAGGUAGGUCAGAUAGAGGUUGAGUUAGGUCAGAUAGAGGUUGAGUUAGGUCAGAUAGAGGUUGAGUUAGGUCAGAUAGGAUACAGGUUGAGUUAGGUCAGGUAGGGUACAGGUUGAGUUAGGUCAGGUACAGGUUGAGUUAGGUCAGGUACAGGUUGAGUUAGGUCAGAUACAGGUUGAGGUAGGUCAGAUACAGGUUGAGGUAGGUCAGAUACAGGUUGAGUUAGGUCAGAUACAGGUUGAGUUAGGUCAGAUACAGGUUGAGUU
Long non-coding RNA from Oncorhynchus tshawytscha (Chinook salmon), 384 nucleotides. Lineage: Eukaryota; Metazoa; Chordata; Actinopteri; Salmoniformes; Salmonidae. The record is from Ensembl.